This 301-nucleotide signal recognition particle RNA is filed under the name Oncorhynchus mykiss (rainbow trout). Its description in RNAcentral is "Metazoan signal recognition particle RNA (ENSOMYG00000055344.1)". It matches the Rfam family "Metazoan signal recognition particle RNA". From Rfam's summary of the family: The signal recognition particle (SRP) is a universally conserved ribonucleoprotein. The record is from RNAcentral. Lineage: Eukaryota; Metazoa; Chordata; Actinopteri; Salmoniformes; Salmonidae.
GCCGGGUGCGGUGGCAUGUGCCUGUAAUCCAAGUCACUGGGAGGCUGAGGUUGGUGGAUCAAGUGAGCUGAGGAGCUCUGGGCUGCAGCACGCUAUGUCGAACGGGUGUCCACGCUAAAUUCGGUAUCGAUAUGGUGUUCCUGGGGGAGCCCGGGACCACCAGGUUGUCUAAGGAGGGGUGAACCGGCCCAGGUCGGAAACGAAGCAGGUCAAAUCCCCCGUGCUUUUCCAGUAGUGGGAUAAUACAUGUGAGUAGAUGCUGCAGUGCAGCCUUGGCAAAACAUUCGAGACCUAAUCUUUU